AGGUCAAAUCAUCAUGCCUCUUACGUCUAGGGCAACAGGCGUGCUACAAUGGCAGGUAUAAUAAGACGCAAUACGGUAACGUGGAGCAAAUCUUUAAAGCCUGUCUCAGUUCGAAUUGAGGUCUGCAACUCGACCUCAUGAAGCUGGAAUCGCUAGUAAUCGUGAAUCAGAAUGUCACGGUGAAUACGUUCCCGGGUGUU
Molecule: ribosomal RNA, 200 nt
Filed under: uncultured prokaryote
Description: partial 16S ribosomal RNA
Rfam family: Bacterial small subunit ribosomal RNA
Source: RNAcentral